Molecule: transfer RNA, 73 nt
Filed under: Pseudomonadota bacterium
Lineage: Bacteria; Pseudomonadati; Pseudomonadota
Also listed under: 4 other names
Description: tRNA-Val
Rfam family: tRNA
About the family: Transfer RNA (tRNA) molecules are approximately 80 nucleotides in length. Their secondary structure includes four short double-helical elements and three loops (D, anti-codon, and T loops).
Source: RNAcentral
GGGCGAUUAGCUCAGCUGGGAGAGCUUCUGCCUUACAAGCAGGAGGUCGUAGGUUCAAGCCCUGCAUCGCCCA